GUGUUGCUGCAGCAGCACAACUGCCGUGAGCAAGCGAGGCAUGCACUCGAAAUCUAAAGGAGCUUCCCUGCGUCGGCGACGGCGGCGGAUUUCGUCAUUGUUCUAUGACGCCAUGUUCUGGGGAACACGCGAGGACGCAUGGCAUCUCGCACUGGAAUUUAGCAAGGGUGAGGAACAGGACCGGAUUUGGCGAAGUGGGAUAUCGGUGUGGGCUAUACAAAAUGUUUCACCAACCAAAUUUACUCCCAUGUUUUUUUUUAUUUAUUGAUUUAUAAAAAUAUAUCGGCUUAUAAAUAAGUAUGUUCAAAAGUACUGUCUAUAUAAUUAACUACGGUUUCUGGCCUUGGAAAAUACAUUGAAUUAAAAUCUAUAAUUAAACUGG
Zophobas morio is the source of this 382-nucleotide long non-coding RNA. RefSeq lists it as uncharacterized. The record is from RefSeq and is a predicted model, not a curated record. NCBI's taxonomy places the organism in Eukaryota, Metazoa, Arthropoda, Insecta, Coleoptera, Tenebrionidae. The transcript has 2 exons.